Molecule: ribosomal RNA, 251 nt
Filed under: uncultured bacterium
Lineage: Bacteria
Description: partial 16S ribosomal RNA
Rfam family: Bacterial small subunit ribosomal RNA
Source: RNAcentral
AGUAACACGUGGGUAACCUGCCCUUAAUGGGGGAUAACAUUUGGAAACAGAUGCUAAUACCGCAUAAAUCCAAGAACCGCAUGGUCUUGGCUGAAAGAUGGCGUAAGCUAUCGCUUUUGGAUGGACCCGCGGCGUAUUAGCUAGUUGGUGAGGUAACGGCUCACCAAGGCAAUGAUACGUAGCCGAACUGAGAGGUUGAUCGGCCACAUUGGGACUGAGACACGGCCCAAACUCCUACGGGAGGCAGCAUG